This is a non-coding RNA of Pelobates cultripes (western spadefoot toad), 112 nucleotides long. The record is from the annotation of a GenBank genome assembly. NCBI's taxonomy places the organism in Eukaryota, Metazoa, Chordata, Amphibia, Anura, Pelobatidae.
AGUGAGAGUUAGGGAGGGAGUGACUAGUGACAGAGAGAGGGAUGGGGUGACUAGUGACAGUCACCCCCUCCCUCACUCUGUCACUAGUCACUCCCUCCCUAACUCUCACUGU